CCCGGGGGGCACGAAGAGGGCGCCCAGCUUCACGGCGCUGUGAGCGCGCACUUCCGGGCACGGUCAGGGCGUGACGUCGGGAGGAGGGCAGACACGCCGCUUUUUGGAUGCCUCCUACGCCUGGCGGGAGUCUUGUCUGAGCUGGCACCACCACACGGCCCACGACAUCUUCGCAGAGAAGCCUGUGGACCCUCUGCCAGGCUCCGCAAGAGGUCAGGACAGGGCAGUGUGUUCACAAGGCCAGUUUCUGAUCGUCCGCCUUGAGGGUGAGGACCAGUAGGCAGCUUCCAAGAUGGGUGAAAGGAAAGGGGUCAACAAGUACUAUCCUCCAGACUUCAACCCUGAGAAGCAUGGCUCUCUCAACCGAUACCACAACAGCCACCCACUUCGGGAGCGGGCUCGGAAGCUGUCACAGGGCAUCCUCAUCAUCCGAUUCGAAAUGCCGUAUAACAUCUGGUGCGAUGGCUGCAAGAACCACAUCGGCAUGGGUGUUCGUUACAACGCAGAAAAGAAGAAGGUGGGCAAUUACUACACAACCCCGAUCUACAGGUUCCGGAUGAAAUGCCACCUCUGUGUCAACUACAUCGAGAUGCAGACGGACCCCGCCAACUGCGACUACGUGAUCGUGAGUGGCGCCCAGCGCAAGGAGGAGCGCUGGGACAUGGCGGACAAUGAGCAGGUGCUGACCACAGGUGAGCGCCACCCACUUACCUGCCUGGGGGCCCUGGCCCUGAGUCUGCGCUGGGGCCCCCAAAGCCCAGCCGAGCUCUGGUCGUUGCAGAGCAUGAGAAGAAGCAGAAGCUGGAGACGGACGCCAUGUUCCGGCUGGAGCACGGCGAGGCCGACCGCAGCACACUCAAGAAGGCGCUGCCCACCCUGAGCCACAUCCAGGAGGCCCAGAGCGCCUGGAAGGACGACUUCGCCCUCAACAGCAUGCUGCGGAGAAGGUUCCGGGAAAAGAAAAAAGCCAUCCAGGAGGAGGAGGAGAGAGACCAGGCCUUGCAGGCCAAGGCGAGCCUGACUAUCCCACUGGUGCCCGAGACGGAAGAUGACCGCAAGCUGGCGGCUCUGCUGAAGUUCCACACCCUGGACUCCUACGAGGACAAGCAGAAACUCAAGCGGACCGAGAUCAUCAGCCGCUCCUGGUUCCCCUCCGUCCCCGGAUCCGCCUCCAGCAGCAAGGCCAGCGGCGUCCUGAAGAAGCUGGCACAGAGCCGCAGAACCGCACUUGCCACCUCCCCCAUCACCGUGGGGGACCUGGGCAUCGUGCGGCGGAGGUCUCGGGACGUCCCGGAGAGCCCCCAGCAUGCGGCCGACACCCCCAAAUCUAGGGAACCGCGGGUACCAGAGGAGGCUACCCAGGACCGGCCCAUGUCCCCCGGAGACUGUCCUCCGGAAACAGCUGAGACCCCCAAGUGCAGCAGGCCGAGGGGGCAGGAAGGGAGCCGUCAGGACAAGCCCCUGUCACCAGCAGGCUCCUCCCAAGAGGCAGCUGACACCCCCGACACGCGGCACCCCUGCAGUCUCGGCUCCUCCCUUGUAGCGGACUACUCCGACUCGGAGAGUGAGUGAGCGAUCCCCAUCCUGGAGACUGGACCCGCUCCAGAGGCCCGGACACACCCAGGAGGCCCCUCACAGACUGCAGACCCCCGCUCGCCCACCGGCCCUGGGAGAGCUCAGAUGCCGCGUCCUCCCCAGACCUCGCCUUCCUGCAACCGUGGAGUUAUUUAUUUGGUCCUGGUGAGGGUGUUUGUGCCUUGUGAGACUCCGUACAUUAAAGAC
RNAcentral lists this small RNA (1782 nucleotides) under Pongo abelii (Sumatran orangutan). RNAcentral's name for it is "retained intron". The record is from RNAcentral. Lineage: Eukaryota; Metazoa; Chordata; Mammalia; Primates; Hominidae.